Molecule: non-coding RNA, 69 nt
Organism: Podarcis lilfordi (Lilford's wall lizard)
Lineage: Eukaryota; Metazoa; Chordata; Lepidosauria; Squamata; Lacertidae
Source: the annotation of a GenBank genome assembly
GAAUGGCUCAGUUGGUAGAGCAUGAGAUUCUUAACCUUAGGGUCACGGGUUCGAAUCCCACGUUAGGCA